UUUUUUUUUUAAACCCUGAGCCGAUUUGCCUGCCGGCCGGACGCUUAAUUGUGCGCUAUUGUCUUGCACCGGAUGCAUGUCUGCCUCUGUUUGAGGCUAUCCUGUCGCCGGCCCAUGGGAAAACCUCCCCUUUUAUAUAAAUGCCCCGUAUUUUUUUUUAAAAGGGAAAAAAAGUUGCAUUUUGAAAACACACUUUUAAAACAGGCCCAGAACUCCAUUUACCCCCUAUCCUCCCGCAAGGCAUUGCAUCAGAUCCCAGGAGAAAGACGAAAUGCAGCCCCAUUCAGUUACCGUGGCUCAGUGCUGCCAUUACGGUCCGCGGCCUUCAGUCACGCGGCAAAACGGAGGAAAUCCGACGCGAUCUCCGCAAGUUACGGUACGCCGUGCCUUAGUAAGUCACCAUAAUUAGAGUUUGUAAGGUAAAAUAUGCAUUCAUUACCAUAACAGCUGGGGAAAAUCGGACACACUGAAAUGAACCCCCAUCACAGUUUUGCCCGUGAUAUUCCCGUGGACGGUGUGUAUAUAUGUACACUGGCGGGAUAUCCCUGGCAGGUAGCGGACCGGAGCCUUGACCUUUUCCCAGAGAGUCUUUCACCGAGCAGUGAACCUCUCCCCAUCUUCACUGCACAGAGAGGUGAACCUCCCCCCAUCUUCACUGCACGGAGAGGUGAACCUCUCCCCAUCUUCACUGCACGGAGAGGUGAACCUCUCCCCAUCAUCACUGCACGGAGAGGUGAACCUCUCCCAUCUUCACUGCACAGAGACUCUGCCUCUCUGGGAGGCUCUUUUUAUACCCAGUCAUCUUACUGACUUGUUGCCAAUUAAUCUAAUUGGAUGUGAGAUAUUCAACCAGGUGUUUUCUUUUAGCAUUACGCAGCUUCUCCAGUCUUUUGUUGCCCCUGU
Paramormyrops kingsleyae is the source of this 903-nucleotide long non-coding RNA. RefSeq lists it as uncharacterized. The record is from RefSeq and is a predicted model, not a curated record. Lineage: Eukaryota; Metazoa; Chordata; Actinopteri; Osteoglossiformes; Mormyridae.